RNAcentral lists this long non-coding RNA (415 nucleotides) under Drosophila guanche. The record is from RNAcentral. Lineage: Eukaryota; Metazoa; Arthropoda; Insecta; Diptera; Drosophilidae.
UGGCUUUUGGUAGACUUACCCAGCCCGGAAUAUUGUAGCCAUGGAGAAGUUAUUCACGAAGAUCUGCCGCUGCUGCGUCACCAAAGUGCAUAAAAGGGAAAGUGCUAGAAAAGAAAGCCACCAACCAGAACCACUAUUUUGUGCAUAUGUAUGUACAUAUGUGGGGGUUUAUGUUUAUCUAUAUAUAUAAAAGAAAGUCGUAUUUUGUAAAGCACUUAUAACUCGAGAACGGCUGGACCGAUUGCCAUGGUUUUUGAUUUGUUGGAUUUGUUUCCGUCGCGAGUAGCAGAAUACAUCAGAAAACAACUUAUGGCCUGUUUGUUGCGGCCUUAAAGCCAAAACUUUAUUUUUUUCUGAAGACAUCAUGUGGGUGUUCAGAAAUUUGUAUAAAAAGUUCAUUUGUUCAUUUGUAAAU